AUUGAACGCUGGCGGCAGGCUUAACACAUGCAAGUCGAGCGGAGUGAUGGUGCUUGCACUAUCACUUAGCGGCGGACGGGUGAGUAAUGCUUAGGAAUCUGCCUAUUAGUGGGGGACAACAUCUCGAAAGGGAUGCUAAUACCGCAUACGUCCUACGGGAGAAAGCAGGGGAGCACUUGUGACCUUGCGCUAAUAGAUGAGCCUAAGUCGGAUUAGCUAGUUGGUGGGGUAAAGGCCUGCCAAGGCGACGAUCUGUAGCGGGUCUGAGAGGAUGAUCCGCCACACUGGGACUGAGACACGGCCCAGACUCCUACGGGAGGCAGCAGUGGGGAAUAUUGGACAAUGGGGGGAACCCUGAUCCAGCCAUGCCGCGUGUGUGAAGAAGGCCUUAUGGUUGUAAAGCACUUUAAGCGAGGAGGAGGCUCUUUUGGUUAAUACCCAAGAUGAGUGGACGUUACUCGCAGAAUAAGCACCGGCUAACUCUGUGCCAGCCGCCGCCGUAA
RNAcentral lists this ribosomal RNA (503 nucleotides) under uncultured bacterium. RNAcentral describes it as "partial 16S ribosomal RNA". It matches the Rfam family "Bacterial small subunit ribosomal RNA", at positions 30 to 523 of the family's 1533-position model. The record is from RNAcentral.